Molecule: long non-coding RNA, 1253 nt
Organism: Cyanistes caeruleus (blue tit)
Lineage: Eukaryota; Metazoa; Chordata; Aves; Passeriformes; Paridae
Source: RefSeq, a predicted model, not a curated record
CCUCUCAUUCAGUGUCUGGUGGAUCAUGCAGUGCUCACCUUGGUAUGGGAUAGUGUCAUCAGCACCCUGGAGAAGCAGCCAUUGCUGCUCUCAAGUUAGUCUCUGCCUCCAUCUUCCCUGGACAUAUCUACACAAGUACAUUUUGUGCAUAAUGCAUUAUUUUGGUGUGUGAAGUGUUUCACCGAUCCAAGAUAUACUAUGGAUGUUCAAAGAUAGAAGUCCUUGAAUUUAACUCAGGAUGCAGAAGAAGAAGAGCCCCAGGAUCAGCAUAAAGAUUUGAGCUGUUACAUGAUGUUCUCCAUCUUUGAAUCAAUCUGUGUGCCAGGAGCAAAGGCAGCACAGCUGUGCCGGAGCUGCUGCGGGUGUUUCCAAGCCCUGUGGCUGGCAGGCACCGAGCAGAGUCAUCUUUAGCAGCACAGCUGAGGACCGAAGGCAAGUCUGUGUGAAGGGAUCUCAAACCAUCGACACCCUUGCGAUGCACGGCAGGCAUUUCAACAAGCAGUGAAAAGCAGCUGCUGGGGGAACUCCCUCAGGACACCCCAGCUCUACAGAGAGCUUUCAGAAAUCAGGAGAGGACAUUUACUACCUAUUUGUGCUAUUGCAUCAUUUAGGCACACUAGUCAAAACUCCUUCUCUUUUAUACCUGUGUCAGCUUGGCUCUCUAGGCAGAACUUUGCAGCUUUUAGACAAGAAAAUUCGAGGAUUGUUUAUUAAGAUUUAUACUCCAAACCAGAUGAAGUUAGAGGGGUCACCUUUAUGUGUAACAUGUGGUAUAUUAAGGUUAGGGGCAGUUCAAACUGUAGCUACAAAAUCUGUACCUCUCCUCUAACUGAAUUUCUGGAGCAGCCCAGGUAACUUUUUGCUCAGUCUUCAUUAAACAAGAGAGCUCUGGACUGCACAGCCCAUGUUCACAGAUCCUUUACACAGAGUGUAAUUGUAUGUAAUUUCUGACUCUGAUAAAGAAUCUUUAAUGGUAUAAAUGCACUAUGGAAACACAAGAGAUAAGAUCAAAAUAACUUGAAAUUGGAGCACUUGAAAACUUGGCAGAGAAUCUGCAUAGGAAGUUUACAUGGCAGGGAAGAGUGUGAUCCCCCAAACGCUCAGGAUUACAUUUCCAAAAUUACAGCAAGGAUAUGCAAUAACAAUUCCAUAAUAUUUUGAUUAGGAAGGAAGCAAAUAACAUACUGCAGAAUGCUGCUGUCAUAGCACACCCCUUGGCAACAUCCUCUUUAAAGAGAAAAAAAAAAAAAAGG